This 429-nucleotide ribosomal RNA is filed under the name uncultured Glomeromycotina. Its description in RNAcentral is "SSU rRNA". It matches the Rfam family "Eukaryotic small subunit ribosomal RNA", at positions 642 to 1075 of the family's 1831-position model. Lineage: Eukaryota; Fungi; Glomeromycota. The record is from RNAcentral.
CGGGAUUAGUACGUCGGUCGUGCCUUAGGUACGUACUGGUGUUACUGGUUCCUACCUUCUGACGAACCAUCAUGUCAUUAAUUUGGUGUGGUGGGGAAUCAGGACUGUUACUUUGAAAAAAUUAGAGUGUUUAAAGCAGGCUCGCGCUUGAAUACAUUAGCAUGGAAUAAUGAAAUAGGACGUUGAUCCUAUUUUGUUGGUUUCUAGGAUUGACGUAAUGAUUAAUAGGGAUAGUUGGGGGCAUUAGUAUUCAAUUGUCAGAGGUGAAAUUCUUGGAUUUAUUGAAGACUAACUACUGCGAAAGCAUUUGCCAAGGAUGUUUUCAUUAAUCAAGAACGAAAGUUAGGGGAUCGAAGACGAUCAGAUACCGUCGUAGUCUUAACCAUAAACUAUGCCGACUAGGGAUCGGAUGAUGUUAUUUUUAAUGAC